AGUUUGAAAAACAUGGCAACCACCUUGUAACCUAGUAACCUACUAGUGCCACAGCUUCCGCCGCCUGUGCUGUGUUUUUAUCACAAUGGCACUCAACCUAAAUUAUCACAGGCUAAUGAGAAAAGAACGCAGGGAGCCUCGAUAUGUAAAUGAUGCGUUUCUGAUAAGCUGAGGCCAGUUGGCAUGUUGCACAAAUGAAGACUAGACCGUAGCUUGGAUGGCAGAAAAAGAUGGGAGAAUCAAUCCUCACGUGGUACAUGAUGGCACAGGCAUGCUAAGCUUAGAAGAUCCCAAGCCAUCGUGGCCCAUGCCACAGUCACAUUCCACGCCGAAAUGUAAUUUUAGCAGUUUCAAACAGCAUCAUCUGCCACAUUAAAUUAACACAUUAAAUUAAUGAGGAUUUUGUAGUGUUGCUUGUACUCUAUUUGUAAGAUUCAUUUUUAAAAAUCAUGUGAGAGCUGUAAACCUAAGGAUUUUUAAAAACCUGGUUUAUAUUUGUACAUUUUCAGGUGAUGAGAUAAAAAGAAACAUAAUUCACAUCAACUCUCACAGAGUGACGGUGGUAAAGGAGUGCACAGAAUUUUUUUCUUCUCAUAGAAAAAGGAGUAGAUCAUUGAAGUUUAGGAAACACUGUGGUGUUACGGGGAGAGUAAUGGGAGUCGUGAAUGUGGAAAUACAGAGAGAAAAUGAGUGAGAAAGAGAACAGGAAAAGUGGCAGGACUCGGUUGCUGCAGCUUCAGUAGAGGACGUGAAGCUUGAAAAAAUAAGGACUGAGACCAGGCAGGGGAGACCUGAGGAGCGGCUGCAGCCGGCAUGCUUCUCAAGACGUCCCUGCCCACAGAAGCUGACAAACCCAAGCAGACAAAUUUGGAGUUCAAGUAAGAGAAUGAUUCAAAAAUGGACCAAAACUGAGGCCUGUCCUUAAUUACUCAUAGUGAGAAGAUGUAACCACUCCUUGGGGAGGAGGAUGGGCAGUGAGCACUCAACUCCUGUGUUGUAUCUAUCGAGGUGAACUAUGUGCUGGCCUAACUUGCCUGUUCAAGAAGGUGCGGGUGUAUGUAUUUAGUUCUUCCUAGGAAUCCAGGGCUGCAGAGGAAAAACAUGGCAUGUCCCGGGGAGCUGAGAGGACAGUCCCAUGAGUCCAUGCCACAUAUCUCCAGGGGACUUCCAGAAACUGCUGGGCGGACUUUGAAGAUGGAGAAAGUCAAGGUUUCUGCAAUAGCAGAUCCCUUGGCAUAAGGAAAGCAAGCUUCCCUGUUGUGAGCAGCCCUAUGGAGAGGCCCAUGUGGCAAGGAGCUGGCAUCUCAAGCCAGCAGACAGCAAGAGCCUGAGGCCUGCCGACAGUCACGUGGGUAAGCAAGGAAGUGGACCCUUCCCCAGCUGAGCCUUCAGAUGACUGCAGCCUCAGCUGACAUCUUGGUUGCAGCUUCAGGAGAUACCCUGAGUUGGAAGACUUCAGUUAAGCCUUAACUGGAUUCAUGACUCACAGAAACUGUGAAAUAAUAAAUGUUGUUUUUAGCCGUUAAGGUGUGGGAUAGUUAUGCAACAAUAGAUAACUAAUACAUAUAGAAAGAAGGGGAGAUCAACAGAGAUACAUGAAAGAGAAAGAAAAUACUUCAAUGAAGACUUCCAACUUGCAGUAAAUUAUAAAACAGCACAUCACUAAACCUACAGAGCUGUGCUUCUGAAAACCACACUCAUCACCUGAGACAUUUCUUUAAACUCUUUAUAAGAUGUAAGGGACUUAGUACUCCUAAAAAUAUUUUUCUGCUUUCUAUCACUUUACUGAUAUUCUCUGUUUAGGGAGAAAUUGUUCUUACAUAUUAUUCUUUACUUAUUUAGACAAUUUCCUGGGUUCUUUGAACAUAUUUAAAACAAUUGAUUUGAAGGCUUGGUCUAGUAAGUCCAAAAUCUAGGCUUCUGCCGAGACAAUUUCUAUGACUACUUUUCUUCUCUGUGUGUAGGCCAUACUUUUUUGUUUCUUUGCACAUCUUGUAUUUUUUUGUUGUUGAAACUAGGCAUUUUAGAUAAUAUAAUGUGGCAACUCUGGAAAUCACAUUCUCCUCCAUCCCCCUGGAUUCACAUUGUUGUAUUGUGAUAUGGCUUAGCUAUGUCCCCACCCAAAUCUCACCUUGAAUUGUAAUAAUACCCUUGUGUCAAGGGUAGAGAUAAUUGAAUCACUGGGGGCCAUUUUCCCAAUACUGUUCUCAUGGUAGUGAAUAAGUCAAAUGAGAUCUGAUGGUUUUAUAAAUGGGAGUUCCCCUACACAAGCUCUCUUGCCUGCCACCAUGUAAGACGUGCCUUUGCUUCUCCUUUGCCUUCUGCCAUGACUGCGAGGCCUCUCCAGCCAUGUGGAACUGUGAGUCCAUUAAACCUCUUUCCUUUAUAAAUUAUCCAGUCUCGGGUAUGUCUUUAUUAGCAGAGUGAGAACAGACUAAUACAUAUUGUUUCUCCACUUUGUGACUUCUCUGAAUUAAUUCUGUCAAGUCUGUAUUCCUCAUCGUCAUUAAUUCCUUUAUUGUUCUGCCCACCCACCAAUAUUCAUUAGCAAGUCAUUAGGAGAACCUCUCAGCUCUAGCUCUAAAAUCUGUGCCCUUUCCUCCAGCUGCACUGCUACCACUCCAGCCCAAGACACCUGCUUCUCUCUUCUAGGAUUCUCCCCAAUGGACUUCUUGCUUCUGCCUUACCCUUCCAUCUUCUGUUCUCCCCACAGCAUCCAGGAUGGUCUUAGGUUAUAAAAAGACUGGUUUCUACUUGGUAUCCUCCACCAAGGCUAGUACUGUGCUUUGCACAUAGUAGAUGUUUAAUCAAUGUCUACUUACACACAGUAAAUACACUUCUGUUACUCUUCUGCCUAUUCCCCUCCAGUGGCUUCCCUUCCAGAGCCCCUGAGGGCCUGGCUGAUGCGGC
RNAcentral lists this long non-coding RNA (2910 nucleotides) under Homo sapiens (human). RNAcentral describes it as "HSALNT0070403". Lineage: Eukaryota; Metazoa; Chordata; Mammalia; Primates; Hominidae. The record is from RNAcentral.